This 450-nucleotide ribosomal RNA is filed under the name uncultured bacterium. RNAcentral's name for it is "partial 16S ribosomal RNA". It matches the Rfam family "Bacterial small subunit ribosomal RNA", at positions 354 to 796 of the family's 1533-position model. The record is from RNAcentral.
GUGGGGAAUCUUCCGCAAUGGACGAAAGUCUGACGGAGCAACGCCGCGUGAACGAUGACGGCCUUCGGGUUGUAAAGUUCUGUUAUACGGGACGAAUGGUACGACGGUCAAUACCCGUCGUAAGUGACGGUACCGUAAGAGAAAGCCACGGCUAACUACGUGCCAGCAGCCGCGGUAAUACGUAGGUGGCAAGCGUUGUCCGGAAUUAUUGGGCGUAAAGGGCGCGCAGGCGGCGUCGUAAGUCGGUCUUAAAAGUGCGGGGCUUAACCCCGUGAGGGGACCGAAACUGCGAUGCUAGAGUAUCGGAGAGGAAAGCGGAAUUCCCAGUGUAGCGGUGAAAUGCGUAGAUAUUAGGAGGAACACCAGUGGCGAAAGCGGCUUUCUGGACGACAACUGACGCUGAGGCGCGAAAGCCAGGGGAGCAAACGGGAUUAGAAACCCGUGUAGUCC